Molecule: transfer RNA, 70 nt
Filed under: Fasciola gigantica
Lineage: Eukaryota; Metazoa; Platyhelminthes; Trematoda; Plagiorchiida; Fasciolidae
Rfam family: tRNA
About the family: Transfer RNA (tRNA) molecules are approximately 80 nucleotides in length. Their secondary structure includes four short double-helical elements and three loops (D, anti-codon, and T loops).
Source: Rfam by way of RNAcentral
ACCGCGAUAGCUCAGCUGGUAGAGCAUCUGCCCGGUAUGCGGGUAUGCGGUUCGAUUCCGGCUCGCGGCG